RNAcentral lists this long non-coding RNA (32017 nucleotides) under Capsicum annuum. Its description in RNAcentral is "long non-coding RNA (CANN_LNC011728)". Lineage: Eukaryota; Viridiplantae; Streptophyta; Magnoliopsida; Solanales; Solanaceae. The record is from RNAcentral.
UAUAUAUUUUAAAAAUAUAAUUUUUGUUAAAAAGCGGGCUCAGAUAAAAUUCAAAGAAAUUAUAAAGAUUUCAUCAUUACCCGAAUUUAUUCAUUUUUAUUAUGUAUUUGUAUACGUAAUAUCCGUCUUUUUAUUUGUGGAGGCCUCAAAAAUUGAUGGAGAAUUUCUUCAUCGUCCAAAUGCAUUAAUCCGUAUAAACAAGAUAACACGUUAAAGUACAAAAUACAUAAAAACCAAUUCACAAAAGAAAAUACAAAAUGAUUACUAAAAUAUAUAAAGAUCACAUUCAUACCAAGAUAAAAGUCAAUUAAAAAAAAAUUAAUAUCAACUUAAAUGAAACAAUGCCAAAAUAACUUUUUUAAAUACUUAAAAUAACAUCAAAACCACUUAGGACUCUAAAUAUCAAUGUUUGAUAACGAUACAAACCAACAAAACAAAAUGUGAAUAUUAAAAAUAUUAAUAAAUCAAACCCAACAAACAUACACCAUGACAAAAUGUUCACGAAAUAGAGAUGAAUAAGUUCAACGAAAAUAGAUCGAGAAAUCACGAAAAAGCUAGAAACAAUAAUAAUUAACACUCAUUUGAAUAAUAUUAGAAACAAACUAAUCAAUAACAAGAUAACAAAAGUAGUCAGCAUCAAAUAAUAUCAACAAAAUUGAUGAAGUCACCGGAAGAGCUAACUAUUUUACCGGAGCUAAAGCUCGUUGUUUGUUGUUAAUGGCAUUUUCGGCCAGAUCUGAGUAAAUUAAAUGGGUAACACAUAUAAAUGAACUCAUUAGAGGAGAAAAUCUGAAGCGGUGGUGGCCAUUAUUCCAAAACAAAUAAUAAAAUAGAGAGGCAGGGGAGAGGAUGAUUGGCGGCGGCGCUGCUCAACGGCUUGGCCAGACCAACACAUGAGACAAUAAAGAUUUCUGCCAGAUCUGAUCGAUUUCAGGGGCCUCAUGGUAUAGUAGUUGAGAGAGAAACAAGAGCAGAUCGUGGAGGUGGUAAUGUCCUCCGGCGAGACUUCAUCCAAGUAGAAGCAGUGACGGUGGAGCUGUGGUGGAGAAGAAUUCUCCGACUCUUUCAAUAAAAAGAAUGAGAGGAAAAGAAGAGAAAAUAUGAUUGUUUUAGUUUUUUGGUAUAGAUAUACGGUGGUGUGUAUAUUUUGUUUGAUAAAAAUAUAUCCCUUCCCUUCUUUUAUAAUAUAACAUAACACAUCUUUUUACCCAAAAAGUAAAUAAUUAAACUCUCUUGUUUCUUUAAUCGAUAAAUUAAUUCACGGGGUAUUGCCUAAUGGUUUUUUAUUCCUUUAACUAAUGUGUAAAGACUUUUAAUCCAAUGAAUAAAAACAUCAGCCCGUCAUUUCAAAUGUCAUCUUUUAAAAAAGUUGACAUGAUCUUGACUGAUUUAUUACUCUAUGUAUUAAAAUAAUUAAUUCAACUUAUAUUUACAGAUCGUAUUAAAUAAUGUACAAACAUAUAAAUGUCGAUGUAUAAUUAUAGAAAAAAUAUAAACAACAAAUAAGAAAAUAUAAUUAUCUUAAAAAAUAUAUUAUGCUAUAAAUAAUUAAAAUUAUAUUGCGCGGUAAAGAAUUGCUGUGCUAUGGUAUGUACGUAUGCGGAUGACUGCAAAAAAUUUAAAUAUAAUAAUAAACUGAUAAAAAUUCUAAAAUUUAUGAAAUUAAAGAUAAUUAUUAAUAAAUUAUGUAAAAUUAAAAUAUGACAAUAAAUGAGUAAAAAUCCUAAAAUAAUGAUGAUUAUCAAUAAUUUAUUAACAAUUGCAAAAAAUAUGUGAAAAAUUGCAUUUUGUGAUAUUUAAUGAAAAUAGAGCCUAAAUGCAUUAAUUUUAAGUUUGGUGAGCAAAAAUUGGGUGUCAAUAAAGCCAGCAUAGGCCGCCUGCGUAUCUCAUUCUUGAGAAUUUAGGUCAAACGUAGUUCGUACAUAAGAGGAAAGGUAAAUUCUCCCAAGGGGUUGACCGAAACCGUCAUAGGCCGUGUAUGUUUCUCAUCUUGAGAAUUCAGGUAAGACAUAGUUCGUACAUAAGAGGCAAGGUAAAUUCUCCUAAGGGGUUGACCGAAGCCAACAUGGGCCUCCUACGUAUCCCUUUCUUGGGAAUUCAGGUCAAAUGUAGUUCGUACAUAAAAGAAAAGGGAUUCUAGGCAAUUAAACAUCAUAAAAACAAAUACUAUAUAAAGGCGAUUACAAAUAAAUGAAGGAAACAAGAGCAAAAAAAUAUUCUUCAAACAUAGUUUCUCUGUACCGCAUCAGAAUUGAUUGGUUUGGUCAACUCUUGACCAUCCAUCUCAGAUAGGAUCAAUGCUCUUCUAGAUAGCACCUUUCAUUCAUUAUUAUUCACCUCGCUUUGUUCAUUUAGCCCUUGACAUGACAUGAUAUUGGCAGGUUUUAAACUAUUAUUACCGAAAUAAACCAGCAAACCAAGUUAGAUGAUAAUAAGAUAAUAAAAUAUAAUCACAUUUCAAAAUAACUUCUUAGAUAAUGGGAGGACUUUUAAUUUAAAUAUGGGAAGUAUUUACAAAAUAUGGUUCGUGACUCUCACAAAUACAGGCCCAUUCCUUUUGAAAACAAUAAAACUCGAAAAGGAAAUUUGAGAGAUGCGGGCCUCCUCUGGAUCAUCACUGAUUUUUAAAACAACUAGUAAUUUCCUUUAUCUACCCCGACGGGCGACGAGUCAUGAGAAGAGUGGAGGUCCAAUCUUGAAAAUCCUCUUCGAAUGCGACCUUCCUCACUCCACCAGUUACUGGAAAAUUUUCUAAUAAAGCAUUGCAUCCUUCGAACAAAUUUCCUAUCCUAUCCCUGUGAUACCCUGUAGUUGUAACACUCUUUUAAUGUCUCUAAAAUGACCUCUAGGACCCCUGUAGUUAUAGUAGAUCAUGUGUUAACAUUGUGGGAGGUGUUGGGGGUGUUCUAGGACCUCAAAACUAAGUAGGCAUCGCAAAAUAGAGCUUAGGCGAUGGCUAGGCAUCACAUUACCAUCGCCUACCUUCACUAGAAAGGUUUGACCAUGGUUUAGGUGCCACCAACCUUGGGUUUGGCCAUGGAUAAGGUGUCGCCAACCUUGGGUUGGCCAUGGGUUAAGCGCCGUAAACCUUGGGUUUGGCCAUGGGCUAGGUGCUGCCUACCCUAUAUUUUGCGGUGUAGGGGCUCUGUUUAUGAGUUAAUUUAAGGGCAACACAGUAUUUUUUUAUCCUAUAACCAUCCCUAAACAUACUUACACGAAAUCAAAUUCCCUAAAUACGUUUUAACACUCUCAAAUCCCUAGUUUAUCUUCCAAAAACAUAAGAAGAGAAAAACAACUUAGGGUUUGGACAUUUAAGCUUAAAGGGCCAAUUUUCUUCACGAUUUCUUCAUUGUUAAGGUACGUGGGGCUAUCCUAACUCUCAUGGGCAUAUGUUUUAUGAUUUCUACAAACUUUGAAGAUAUAUAUAUACACGUUUAUGAUAUUGGUUUUGGUAAAUUAUUUCAAGCAUUGUGAAACCAAUUUGAUCAAAUUAUGUUAUUGUUAUGGGGUUUUUCCAUGAGUUUGAUUUAUAAUCUCAUGCACGUGUAAUUUGAGUUUGAAAAGUGAUUUAUGAAUGUGAUUUGUGGAAUUCCCUUCCCCAUGAUCAAAUUUAUGGACCUUGCAUGAUAUAUAUUAUGAUUUUUUUUCGAGAGCAUAACUUAAGAGCCACUUUUAAAUCAUGAGAUUUGUGUAUAAAUAAAUGCUGAUACUUAUUUAUGAAUGAUUAUAUUUCUCAAGUUAUAAAUGCCUCCAUAUUAGUUAUGCUUUGUUAUUUUACAUGUUUUCAAAGAGGUGAUUCUUAUUCCAAAGGCUCUUGUGUCCUAAUGAAGAAAUUACAUGUGAUUAAUGAGUGAAUUGUCCACUAUAUGAUUAAGUCUUGAAAAGAGAGUGGGUUUGCACAUGUUUUUGAAAUAAUAACUCUCUUGUGAUUUGAUAAAAUCUUUAGGUGGUCAUAUGCAUAUUUUGAAUGAGAAGGGCGGAUAUGAUCUGGUGUGAAAUGAAUGACUUGCAAGUCUGGGUAUGGCGAUACCCUGUUAUGAUAUGCCUUUAAUAGAAUGAGAAAGAUUUGUUUAUAAGCAUUAAAUAUCUUUUUAAGAGGCUAAAACUGGGCUUAUAGAGAGUUAGAUAGUUAUCCAAAGAAAGCACAAGUUAAAAGACUCUAUGCUGUAAACCGUGAUUUGCCGGCACGGGACUUUAGUACCCUGCUAUGUGAUCUUGUGUACCUUGAAUUAUGUCGUCCCAUUUUGGGACCAUGGUUAGAAGUAUUGCUUUGUGAUCUUGUGCCCAACCAUGACAUAUUGAUUUGAUUUGGGGAUUUUGGCACCCUGUUGUGUGAUAUUGCGUGUCCCCCUUACUGAUACUCCAAUCCUUGUGGCAAAUUUGGAUUGGGGGCUUAGUCGCCGAGUCAAGAACGGGUUUCAUAUAGCCCGUGGAAUUUUAAACUUGAAGGGUGUACCAUCUAGCUCAGAAGUAAAAUAAAGAAUUAAGUCAUGAUUCCAAGAAAAUGUUUUGAGGCUCAUCACAUUAUGCCCAUGUGUUUUCUAAUAUUUUCUACCAAUAUGUUUUUAUGAAAUGCUCUCACCUAUGUUGCGUAAAAGUAUAUUUUGUUUUUGGAUUGUUUUACAUACUAGUACAUUUAUAUUGACCCCCUAUAUUUCAGGUUCUGAAGCCCAGUCUAGCAGUCCUUCUAAACAAUAGAUUGUUGUCAGACAUUCAGAGUUGGUGAGCCUCCAUUAUUAUGGAAGGCCUUGUUUCAUGUGAUGAUUUCAGUUGGUUUAGUUCAUGGUCCGAUUGGGGGCCUUGUCCCAGUUUCAUACAGAUGUUGUUUUCAUCCUUUAGUAAAGAUUAUGCAGAUGUGUAUUAAUGGUUUUGGGUCUUGUUGAACUUAUGCCCGUAUUAUUUAGUAGAUAUAAUAAGAUGACCAUGUUUCCAUUUGUUUUCUGCAUUCUUUAUAAUAUGUGAAUGUUGCAUAUGAUUACCAGAUAGAAGGGCUCUCAGGCCUUCAUGGUUCAGGAUGCCCAUUACAUCCAGGGCCUCGGUUUGGGUCGUAACAAACUUGGUAAUAGAGCACGAUUCAUGGUCCCAGGGUGCCUGCAAAGUCGUGUUGGGUAGAGUCCUUUUUAUGGGUGUGUAACGCACCACAUUUAUAAGGAGGAAGCUACUAGGCAUUUAGGAAUGUUUCACUUUUCUUCAUGUUCUAGAUUGUGCCAUUAGGAUAGUUAUAACUCGAGGGUAUUAAAAUAUCUCCCCCUUGGGACAGUUCGUCCCCCGAAUGAUACUGAUUUGGCUGAAAUACUAAGAAAAAACUAAGAUGAUGCACGGGACACUUAUGAACUGAAUCAUGACAAAAUAUCUGAAAUCCAAAACAUGAUGCAUGGACUAAAUUGGAUUUGCAAUUUAUAUUGCAAAUAUUUUACCUCAUGGAAUAGAUAUAUUCAUGAAACUUUAGAUAGUAAGGCAAGGCUAGAUCGGAAAAUAGAAAACACUAGGAACUUGUCGUCUGACUGCUAGGCUGGAUUGCUGGCUAUAUGGACUAUCUCAUACUGAAAUCUUAUACUCAACUAGAGUAUUUCUCCAAUGUUAUUUAUAAGAAGUUCUAAUAAUGUUAGAGAGCAGAGGAUCUUGGGCACGGUCUGAAUAAGAUAUCUGAAGAAGAAGUCACAAUAUGGCUAAAAUUCUGUAACAUAGAACAUAGGCCUACAAAACAUAAGCUAGGAUAGAAUUUCUAUGCUUAGACCAUGCAACUGCUGUUUUCAAGCUUAGACAUACUCCUCAAAUACUCUCUUAACUAUACCUUCUACUUCACUACUACAUUUCUUCUGAGGCUAUUAAAGAUAUUCGCAUGAGCAUUGAUAACUCUACCUACUGAAGUCUGAGCUGAACUGAAUCCUCUUACUCUGUUCAAGCCUACUUGAAUCUACAAAAUACACGCAUAACCACAUAAUACUAGUCUGAAUCAUGAAUUUAAUACACCCUGCAUUUUUAUAACUUCUCACCUUAUGAAUAAUUAUUACACUUCAGUAGCUACAUUCAACCUCUUACUAGACAUUCACUCAAGUGCAAUGCAUUCAUCCACACAUAUACAAACAUGACAUUUAAGCCUAUCUUCAUAACCACAUAUGCUCUUCUAGAGAAACACCCAUAAAAACAUCUUUCUCAUAUCCUACAAACCUCUAUCAUUAACACCUUCCAUGCACUACCCUAAGAAAACAAACAAAAUUUUAACUAACCAUGUCGUGACUGAAGGCUGGAAAUUAAGGAGGCCGUGAUGGAGCACGCGCCACAGGCUCUGGUCCGCCGUACUGGAGCAUGCGCCACGGGCCUUGGUCUGCUGGACUGGAGCAUGUACCACGGACUCUUCUACAGGCAUCCCUACCAGUGGACUGGGGUGCGCAAUGCGGGUUUAUCUGUAAUGCCCCAAAAAUAGGUCCCGAGAUGUCACACGGUGCUUGGGGUCACAUAUGAUCCCAAGCUAACCCUUCUACUAGCAUACUUACAAGCAACUGAAUAGAAUACAUAAAUCUAAAAAAAAUUAGUGAAAACAUAAAACUUCCCUAAAUUUGAGCAAUACAAAAUCUGAGUUUACCAAAUUACAUCUCUGUUUCUACGAAUACAACUGAAAUAACAUACAUCGAUACUACUGACUGUCUAUGAAACCUCUACUAGUACUGACUAUAGAUAGCCGGGUCAUGACUCUCAACUAUCCCAAUUAAAUAUGUAUGAAUAAAGAAAAUACAAUACUUCUCAAACUGUAUAAUUGACUCGAGCCCUUGGAUCAGAAGGACUCAUCACUUGUUGAGUAGGAGCUGUGAACUGAUUAAAUAUGGUUUAUGUGCUACAACUUGUACCUACAUUAUGAGACAAUAUAGCAUAUAAACAUAUAUGUGGAUCAGUACUUUGAGGAUGUACUCAGUAUAUGAGGGUGCAUGCAAUAAGUAAAAUCAUAUCUCAAUAUCAUCAUUUAUAAAAUCAUGCAUGCUAAAUGUAAACGACUUACAUAGCUUGAGUAAAUCUGAAAUCUAAAACUCAUAAUUUGUGAAUAGUAAAGCAUGCAGUAUAAAUCUCGUGAGUCAUUAUACUUAGUUUUAAGAUAUGUGUUUCUUUUCUUAUUCUCAAAUCAUAUAGGCUAAAAGAGCUUUAAACAAUGCUUUCAAAAUCAAACUUUUAUCUCAUGGAGAGUAAAACUUCUUUGAAACUCAAGGACUCAUGAAUAUUUGAAACUUUAAGACUUGGGAACUCUGUGACUCUUGAAAUUACAUAACUUUGGACACUUGGGAGUUUCUUCUAACCGACAUAAACCCUGUGAGCUACAUGAAGUCUAACGUCUUGUCCUCCUAAGAAAUAAACCUCUCGUUGGGGAGAGGCGUCAUACUCUUGCCAGGAAGUAUAACCUCAACUCAGUGAUCACUAUCUCGGCUUCGGGCCCAUAAAUCUCAGUCCUACAAUGACACGUAGUUCUGGGGUAUGAGACCUCAAAAUCAUACCCAACUCGGUGCUAAAUACUACUCCCAUACUCAGCUCAUAACUCUUAGGAAAUCCACUUCAAAUAACUCAAGGGUCUAUACUAAAGACCAAAAUGUAUUACUAUUUUCUUUAAUAGAACAUCAAUGUGGAUUCCAACUCCAUUAGGACCAAAAAGGUCAAAUAUUUCUCAAUAAUCUCAAAAUACUUGAAUCAUUGGUGCUUAUAGCACAGAAGUUCAUAAAAUUGUAAUUCUCAAGUAGGGCUUAGUGGCCCAUAGUUCAAUCUCAAGUUAAGACUCAUCAAAAUACAUACUAGAGAUCAUAAGGAUUCAUAAAUCAUAUAAAAAUCUGAAAUUUCAGCAUUUUGCAUUAAAAUCUCAACAUACUCAUGUAUCUCAAUUUCUAAAACAUGGAAAUUAUCAUAAUCUCAAGAAUAACAACAAAGGGUAUAAACCCAUACUCCAACUUUCAUAAGAAAAACAUGCGAAACCAUAUAUUCUUGUAAUUUAAAACAACUUUUGGGCACAAGGACGAAAGGAGUGUCCCUGUUCAAACCCCACAUACCUUAGAUUGACAAACUUGGAUGAAUAACUUGCUUGUGAGAUGUUAUUGGAACUCUUGAAUGAGGGUGUAUGGAAUUCUUGCACUAAGAACUUGGAAUCUUGACUAAGUAGGAGAAUUGAUGGAGAAAUCUUGAGUUUUUUGGAGGAAAAGUUUGAUGAACUAGGGUUUUUGGUUGAGGGAUUUCGAGAAAAAUGGUAUAUGAUUCUUGUAAUGACCUUAAAUCAGGUGUUUGGACGAUUUAAGUGGCUUGGAAAAAGUUCAAAAUACCCUUUUUAACUUCUGACCAAAACUGAAAAAAUAUAACUGGAAGCCCAAUUUUAUGGGCCACCGUGACGUGCCACUAUCCUGGUGGCUCACUGGAAAUUGACGAAUGGGAAUCUGAGCGUCACCGUCCCACUGAUUGGGACCUGAAAUUUCAGCGCGAUGCACCACAAUCAUGCUAGGCUACUGGAAACUGACAAUUAGGAUACUACUCCUCUCUGCGACACGCUAAAGGUGUGAAUGACAGUGUUUUACGACUGGAACUUCAAUCAGCCAUAAAUUCUUGUUCGGUUAUCGAAUUUGGGCGAAUCUUGUAUCGUUGGAAAGCUAAUUCAAUUUUCCACACGAUAAAAAGCCAAAAUUAGGAAAAUUAGAUGUGAUUUAAACAUUACUUACUUUGGAAGUCAUUCCUCAAUCUUAUAGAGAUAAAGUUAGGCUUAAGGAAAGUUUCGGGUAUUACAUUAUCCUGAUGGUGCUACUAUUUUAGACGUCCAAACUCACCCUUACGCUGGUCCAAAAUUUUUGAAACUCACCCGAGAUGUACUAUUGACCACCCCGAUCAUGAAUUAACUUAAAAAUUAAUGUUCCAAUGUCGGGAAGGUCGAAAAUAAAAUCAUUGAAUUUUGGGAGUUAAAAAUGACUAAGUCCCAACAUUUAGUGAAAUUUUCUAAUUCUUGGACCCCUUUUAACAUGUAAUAGUAAGCUGAAAUAAGUUUUGUCAACAAAAAAAUGUUUACUCUCUCCUAUCUAGCAAUUGCUCAUCACUACUAUCAUUUCGUAAGGGAUGGUCACUGAAAGUUUAGGACAUGAGGACCUAAAGCAUUAAAGAAUAACUUUGACACUCAACUGAGGCCUGAGGAAUAGAGUAUCAUUGUUCAUCAAAGAGGUCUAAACCGAGGACAUACAUGACAUUUUUCACUGAUCAUUAAAAGUGUUGCAUGGGUAUUGGAACUGAACACACUAUAAAACAUGAAUACAUAAGUCAUGAGCUGUAUGACCUAUGUUUGGAGUUUCCAAAUUCGUGGAACAUGGUUCUUACUGCUGAGAAAACUGGAACUCCUUAUACUAGAGACUGGAAGCAUACAUGAUUCUUUAUGAUGCGCAUGAGCAUGAACUAUGAUUAUGGAACUAACAUGUAAGGCAUGAGUAUAUCGUGAUGACUGAGAAACCAUGUAUUGAGAUAAGUAAGGGUUGGGCAUCAUCCUAUGCUACUGCUUUUCUACACAUACUGGCAUCACUACUAGGAUCUGAGAGCCUGACUUGGUUACUUGUUCUAUCAUCUCCUCGUUAGAUUAAAGCCAUCAUUAUAAGUUUGGAACCACUUAAUCAAUAUCUAUAAACUGAAUUGCCACCACUUUUUUUCUAGAAUCUAGGGUAUAAUAAUGCACAUAAUUGGUAAACUCACCCUAAAUGACUAUGCCCGAUAAUGUAAAACUUAUUGCUGGUCUUUCUUCUGAGAUACAACUCUUGGAUUUCUAUGCCCCUCAACAAUCAUCAUAUAACAACUUAACCACUGACUAACUUAGAAUCCUUAACUCUCCUUUCUAUUCGCUUAAUCAUCAAAUAUUCAAACUGAGAUUCUAACACUUAACAUGGAUAUCCCCAAACCUUCAAUGAACCAUACUACUUUCAUCAUAGCCUACAAAUAUCACAUCCUCAACAUAUAUUUCGAAUCAACAAACCUAAAUUCUUACAUACACUACUUCAAGCCUACUGAUUCACCUUUCAGCCAAUUAGCCCCAUGAAAUAUGCUCUACUCAAAUUCAGAUAACACUAUCCCAACUCUACUACUGUUGCUAAAUUCCGAAUUUGAUCCUCUAAUUCUAGAUCAUAUGCUAUCAUAGGAUUUUGAGAAAGAAUCUGAAGAUACAUCUGACUCCUAAGGACUGAGGUACUACCCAUCUAUUCAAUGAUUGGUUUAUUAAGAAACUAUAACUAAACGACUCCAUUUUUGAAAUCAAUUGAAGUAAUUUUCUAGGAUAUUAAAACCGAGCAAUUCCUGUAUACCCAUCUGGCUAGGAUAGAUUUACCCACUAAGGUAGACAUGGAGAAGGGCUCUUCUAAGGUUUUGAGACUAAUACCGAGCUUGACAACUAUAUAGGGGGUUACAAAGAGGAAACAAAGUUUUGGGGUCUAUUAAAAUAAACACAAAAAAAUGAAAGGCCUGUUACAUACUCAUAACUUCAUCAAAAAAACUUUCUUGAUCAUAUCUGUACUGGAGUGCAUAAAUUCUGUUCUGACGUUGACCAUUGGUGGCACUGGAAGUGGCACACUGCUGGGUCAGGUGAUCGACUGGGACUUGGGAAUGACUGUGCUGACUAUACUGACCCACCUGGGGGCAUUCCCUGACUCUGUGGCCUGGCUCGCCACAUCUAAAACACAAACCACUACUAGCCCUACACAUGCCCUAAUGAUUCCUACCACGCUUCCUGCAGAGAGGGUUAGUAUGACCACUCUUUGGCCUUGACUUAAAACUACAUGUUCUGGACCUCUUAUUCUUUCUUCCUUUUUCCCUACACUUCUCCUUCUCACUCUGCAGAGCAUUAACCAUUAGCCUAGAUAGGACAAUAGCUAGUUGAUUAUUCUGAGUAACUACUGAAUAAGCUAAGACAGUGAAAGCAACUCUAAAUUUGGAGUGAGAGACAUGCUCAUUUAGGGGAUCUUCCUGAAUAGGCGGAGGUGCGGGCUAAUUCCCAUUCCUCUUUUCGAUAUUCCUUUUAGGAGGCAUGGUCAGUAAUGGAAUUAAAGGAUAUAUUAGAACGAGAGUUUGAAUAGAGCUCAUACUUAUUUGCAUGACACGAACACUGAAAGACUGGAAACUUUUCCUAAAAUAUCUUGUAACCUCUUGUCCAUAAGUGUGGUGCGCUUCACACAUAUGCACAAGACUCUACUCAACAUGAAUUUCAGACUCCCUAGGACACUUUAAAACCUUAGCUCUGAUACUAAGUUUGUAAUGCCCUGAGAGUACACCCUGGGUGCUACACGAUGCUUACAUCCCCAAAGUACCACAAGCUAACCCAUAUUGAUACCUGCUGUGAGCACUGAAUAAAAUAAUAAGGAAUAUGUACGAAAUUUAACUGGAACACCAUAAGGUUUCAAAUACGGAAAACAAUACUGAAUCGUAAUACUAAAAAUAAUUUUCUGAAGAAUGAUAAAACUGAAAGCAACUAUUUUAUUGAAAAUGUCUAAAAGCCUCUAAAUCUGACUGACUGUAGAGUUCAAGGGACAAGCCCCCAGCUUACUCCAACUGACUAAAUAACUGAACUACUAAUACAACUAAAGAUAAGGUAACUUGUCCUCGAAGGAUGAGGACUCACCACUACUUCUGCUGCUGCUGCUAAUAAACUGGAAAAUCAAAGUACAGUUGGGAAUCUGAGCAGCUGAACCUAUGAUAUAAGACAUCAUAGCGCAAGAAAUGAUAUGCGAUCAAUAGUUUGAAUGUACUGGUAUGCUAAAUGAGGUUAGGCUAAUAUUCAUGGGUUCAUAUAUGUGAGUAAUAACUGAUUGAAUGUACAACAUGAGAUACAGAGUAAGAAUGCAUGCAAACUAUAAAGACUGAGAAUGCAUAACCAAGCAUAAAACGAGUUCUAAAAUAGUCUGUAAAUUGAAUUACUAAAAUCUGAUAAAUGAAUAACUGAUAAACUAAAUGAUAUGGUCAAGCAGGACUGAACUGAAUUCUAAACUGAGUACUAGAACCGAAACAGUGGGAGCUAUCAUCUAAUUGACAUACCCUAAUAUAGACUAAUUGGGGUCCAACCUAUAAACCCAAUUGGAAGGGUGUUAGUACCGUGCCAUGGGUUACUAACAAUGGCUAAGUAAACCCUAAUAUUGUAGGAAGACUCAUGAGAUAUAUAUAUCUAUGUCAACCCUAGUCUGGUAGGAAAACAUAUCCACCUAUGCUGGCUACAUACUUCUGUAACUCAGGGACUGCUACUAAGGGUUACACCUUAACCUGGAAGGAAUGCCCCCAUCCCUGGGUUUGCUCGGUGCUGAAUCCUACUCCUAACUAAACCGACAUUGAUUACUAGACUAGGCUAAGCUUGACCGAAAUCACACUGACCAUGUUAACUGACCGAGUAUUACUGCUCAAGAUACGGCUGGGACCCUUCUAUAACUACUGAAAACUAAGUAAAUAGCUAAAUUGCAGGUAUCAUAACCCCAGGACUCGAUAGCACAACAAUAGAAACGCGUGAAAGCUUUGAAAACCAUGAUAAAAAAUUACUACUCAGAAUCCGUCACUUUGGCAUUUCAUCAAACACAUGGGAUACAUGAAUUUAAACAUGGGAAUAACUAUAAACAUGAUGAGAUAACAUGAUCAUAUGACAUAAUCAUAAACUGAGGAUUUAUUCUAAAUUCUCAUAAACAUGAUAUGGAAAGCCACAAUAUUUAAAACAUACUAUAAUGCAUUCUACUUGAAACAAUUUAUAAUCUUAACUUGAAAUUCAAAUGGUAAGAAAUUCAUGGAAUUAAACAUGGGAAUGAGUGAAACAAGUGGGAAUAGCAUAAUUGCAAUCCUAAAACCAUACUUAUGUAUUUAACAAUGAAAUUUUAUGCUUCAAAUGUGUAAGAGAUGCUUUCAACGAAAAUAGAUUGUAAACAUCAUGUAUAAUUGAAAUUCAUAAAAAGCCUUAUGGAGAUAAAUCACUAUAAAUAUGUAAUCUCAUAAUUUAGAACAUAAAAGAUGGGUUCUUGGAUUCCAUGGGUGAAAAGGGACCAUGGAUGAAAAUCUAACAUACCUUGAAAUUUAAAUCUUGAAAGCGAACAACUUUCUUGAAAGAUUUCUUGGAUCGGAACACUUGAGUUCUUUGUUUUCUUGAAGGAAUGGCUUGAAUCUUGAAGAUGCUAGGGUUUUUCUUUUGAGAGAAAAGAUGAAUAAUAGUUUGUAUAAUGCUUUUGAGGGCUGAAAUUAUCUGUUAUGGACGAUUUACGGUAGAGGAAAAGACUUAUUUUCCCUUAAAAAUAUGGAAAUAGAAAUUGAAAAUAGGUGCGGCCGACGGAGCGCGCGUCGCGGGCUAAUCGCACGCCCUUACCACCUCUCUCACGAAAAUGACUAUAACUUUUCGCUCGGGUAUUGGAUUGAGGCAAAAUUAGUAUAGUUGGAAAUCUGACUCAAUUAUCUACAAUUUGGUGGGUCUUGAGAUGCCAAAUUAUAUGUAUAUAAGAAGUUAUACACAUUCAAAGUAGACCCUUGUAGAAUCAAAUACCAAACUCUGGAUGAAUCAAAGUAUCUUAGCUCAACUUUGUUCUAAGCAAUUCUUAUGAAUAUUUUUCACCUCGCAGGCACUUUACAUACUAUGAUAAAGAUCAUAACAUGUGUAUUCAAAAUAAAUCCAUGGAAUUAGAGUCAACACACGUAAGAACAAUGCUUCAAAGUCUAGCCCAAAAAUACGGGGUGUUACAUAGUUAUAUAACAAUUAUCUACUCUUUCUUCCACAAAUUUUCAACUUUGGUCAUUUCACAUCUCACAUUAAGCCUACUAAUUCAUUCCCACAAAACAUGCAUCAUAAAUCUUAAGCCACUAUUCUUACCACCAUACUCCACAUCUAAAGUUCAAGCCUAUAGUCUAGCAUCAAUCAUGUACCACCAAUGAAGCAUGGCACCUACUAUACUAGUCUAUCAAAUUGGGAAAUCAACCCAAAUACCUCAUUUCACUUAACUACUACCUAUAAUCACAUCUUUUCCAUAGAAUCACAACUACACCUCAAAAUCCACUAUAUACCUUCUCACAUAAAGUACUAGUUUACAACUACUAGAGAAAGAAAAUCAAGGGGGGUAAAGUAACGUAAUAGGGAUAGCCAAUCUUAAUCUUAUAAUAUAACCUAUUACGAUCUUAUCGCCAUGUUCUACUUUAUCACAUCAUAUUUACUUACCCAAGAAUACAUCACCACUACCUUAAAAUUCAAUUUACACCAAUGAAUCUCUACCCAUAGCCUAUUCACUGAUCUACCCCUUUCUAUUCACAACCUACAAAUGAUUUCUACAAUUACCAUAACUAUCCAUUUUGAGAUCCUUCCUUAUUUUUGAAUAAAACAAUUAUCAUAGCUAGCCACUUCCUUUAUAGACUACCACACAAUCUACAAAUAUUGCUACCGUACUAGUCUAUCACUAUAAAAUGGCAACCCAUCCUCAAUAAAUGGUUAUACAUAUAAACUAGCUUCUUUAUGCAUAAGUCACCCUUAUCCUAACUUCUAAGCUUGUGACUUCGUAUCACUGACUUCUAGACCAUCUUAUAGCUCAUAGGUUAUGAAACUUUAUCACAUACUACAAUGUGGGUGGAAAUAAUGUUCCAACAUUCUGCCACACAUUAUUACCCUUAACCAUGACAUCUACAACAAUGGUUUUAUAAUAGGAGACUGAAUACACUCCAUACCAUAAGCUCAAAUGCACGAUUGAUGUAGAUAGAGGUACAAACUUAAAUCAAUACACUUUAAAGCAUUUAUGGACUCUUCUCUAGUUCCUGCACAAUUUCAUAAUCGUUUAUGACCUAAUUAGAAAGGACCACAUCAUUUAGACUCUAAGCUUUUGCACUUGAAUUGACUCGACGAUAAGACAUAACUAAUAAAAUCUAAGUAAAGAAGGAAUUUGGAUAACUUCCAAAUAAACAACACAAUGGCACGAUCUAGAAAAUGAAGAAAAGUGAAACAUUCUUAAAGGCUUAGUAGCUUUCUCCUUAUACGUGUAGCGCGCUACACACCCAUAAAAAAGACUCUAUUGGAUGCAACUUUGCAGACACCUUGGGACCAUGAACCAUUAUCUAAUACCAAGUUUUUUAUGAUCCAAACCGAGGACCUGGCCGCGACGGGUAUCCCGCACCAUGAAGGCCCGAGAGCCUUCCUAUCUGGCAAUCAUACUCAACGUUCACAUAUUUUAAAGAAUGUGGAAAACAAAUGGAAACAUGGUCAUCUUAUUAUAUGCACUAAACAAUACAAACAUAAGUUCAACAAGACCCAAAACCAUAAAUACACAUCUGCGAAAUCUCUACUAAAAGCUGGAAAUAAUAUUUGUCUGAAACUAGGACAAGGCUCCCCGAUCGGACCAUGAAUAAACCAACAUCUGGGGUAUAAUAAUGCACAUAAUUGGUAAACUCACCAAUACAUUCAAACAAAGCAUACUAUAUUGAGUCACUCAUACUCCUCAUUUCUUUCUCUUAACCAUUUUAAGAGGACUUGGAGUCAAAAUUCAUUCUAGAAGGGUCCCAAAAUUAUUUACAUACGACAUAACAUAUUUCCUUAUUCCCUCUCGAUAUUAUAAGUCAAGUGAAGCUCUUUGAAUAGUGAAUAAAAUAAUUUUUUUUUCUGAAAAAACCAAGUAAAAUAAAGAUUAGCAUGAAAAACAUUAUUAUGAAACAAUGAACUAAGUAACGCUUUGGACAUGAGACUUCCAAAAACAUUCUGGUGCAAUUUCACAUUGUAUUUGGAAAAGUGAAAAUAAUUUUUUCUCUUUUUCACUCCUACUCCUUCCCCGACUAGGUCACAAAGAAUUUUAUACAUAAAAAGGCCAUAAAGGGAUCGUUGUAUGAAAUACCAUUCAUUGGUGAACCUACUUCACUCUUCCCAUAGACAUUGUCAGUCAAGAGGGACGAGAGAGGUUCUAACACAUUUUAAGAGAGAGCAAAAAAACCACAUAACUAGUAAGAUGGAAACAAAAGACCUUGAACGCAAAAAAUAGUUUAUCUAGAAUUAUAAUUAGUGAAAUUAAGGCUAAAUAGCAAACUAAAGUCUACGAUUAAGAGACUUUUAGGCCAAAAUGAUGAGCCAAAGAAGACUAAACGAGUGAGUAUAUCAUAUAUAUAUAUAUAUAUAUAUAUAAAUAGCACAUCAAUCUAAAAAACAUUGCUUAAGAUACAUAACAAGUAAUAAGCCAUAAAAUGCAAUGAUAUACAGAUAAAACAUUGAAUUCAACGAAUGAUGAAAAUCAUGUUACUAACAGUUCAAAGCACUGGCAUCGAACAUAUUGAUUCAAGAAAAAUGAUGUAAUGACAACUAUUACAUACAAAUCCUAUGGCCAUCAAAACCAUCUAUAACAAACAAUCCUAGCGACCAUAAUUACGACGACAUAGCUAUUGAUACAAAGAAAAAGAUAAAGAAGAAAAAAAUCAAUAAAAUAAAUGGGGAAAGGUGUGUUUACCUCUUUCAGAUCAGAAAAAUGGGACUUCUAGCUAUUGUCAGAAUCUCGACCACCGAAAACUCCACCACUACUGCUAUUUGACAGCUUUUCUAAAAAAGAAUUUAUUUUUAACUAAAAAUCAAACUCUUUGCUCAAUAAAGCUUUCUUAGCCCUUUUUAAAGACUUUAUUAGAGCUCACUUUUCAGCUCAACAAUUGCUCUUUUAAAGGAGGGAAGGAGGAUUGAGUUUUUGGACUUCAAACGAUGUGGGAAAAAGGGGAAUCAGAAUUUGGAAUUUUUUAAUGGAAAUAUUUUUUUUGAAUUUUAAAUUAGGAUUAGCUUCUGCAUCUUGUGAAUUGUACCGAUUGGUAUAGAAUCAGAUCAAACUAUGAUAAGUCCUAUUUGGGCAUUAUAAGAAAAAUUAAAAUUAUUUUUAAUUUAAUAAAAAAUAACCACGUAUGUACUUGCACAGUAGGUAAUCUAUGAAAUUGCAAGGUGGAUAUUGCCAUUUCUAGGGACACAUCGCCAAUUUUAGAUUCUUAUAAAACCCAAAAAGCUCAAUAACUAUGGGCAAAGGGAUGGAGAUGGAGAUUAACAUGGGAAGACAAAGAAAAAAGAAUGAGGUCGGGUUUCGUUGGGUCAGGUCUAGUGAGUUUGCCGACUAUUAGAACGAGUUGCUGGUUGGUUUGUUUGCUAUUAUAAACAAUUGUUUUUAUCAUUGGUAUAAUGAAGAAGAAAGAAAGAGGGGAAGGUCGGGUCAGGUCAGGUCUGUUGUGGGCUGGAUGAAAUUGAAAUUAUUUUGUUGAGCUUGGCGGGUCAGGGUUGGUUUUGGGGUAAUUGAAGUAGGAUGAGUGGAAAGUUUUAUUGGGUCAGGUGAGGUUGCUAUUGAAUAUUUAAGGGGAAUGGAAUACUUUUGGGGUUAUUUAAAAAAUAAUCCCCAUUAAAUUCGGAGUUAACCAAUUUAAUUUAAUUUUCAAUCAAAUUGACAUUUGAUUGGCUAAUUGCAUUACAAUUGUCGCCAAUUUCAUUUCAAUUAUGACCAAAUAUAAAAUAUUGGCUAAAUUAAAUUGGAAUUCAAUCUAAACUAAUGCCUCAAUUAAUCUCGAGCUUCUUGAUUUAAUAAAAUCAAACAUGUAUUUUUCCAAAUAAAUUAUUUUUAAGAAUAAAUUGUAUUUAAAUAAAGAUUUUAACCAUUUGAAUUAAUUUUCAAAAUAAUCCUUGAUUAAGAUUUAAUUUUCCGUACAAUCAUUAUUUAAGUAACAAAACUACAUGAUUUCGUAGAUACAAAUACGAAAAAAUAUAAUCGUUACUUUAAUUGAAAAAAUUAUCUAGAUAAAUACUUUGAAAAACUUUUAGUCGGAUAAAAUAAAUAUUGUAAUUUCAUUUAAAAUUUAAGAAACUCAGAAUUAAACUUAGUCGUGGAGGGCAAAAAUUAGAUGUCAACAAUAUAUAUGUAGGUACCAGUGUUAUGUCAAGGGUAAAGUAGUAAAUUCACUUGUUUGGAUUGAUUUCUUUAAAGUUAGUAUAUGUAACAUGAUGUUAGUAAAGUUAGAAAUUAAUUGUCUUGCUUCUUAUGACUUAUGUAUAUAUGUUGGGAGAAAGUUGAAUAAUUUGGCUAGUUGUUGCUUGAUGAAAUGUGUCACUCGAUAGGCAGGAUAUAUGAUCUCUUCAUGCCAUGUGACAUCUUGUGACUAAAAGGCAUCCUUAUAUUUAUCCAUCGUGAUAUCUAUUCUUUGUAUCUGAGGCAUUCCUAUUCUAUUUCACACGAGUUCAUAUGUAUAUUAUUUGUUGGAUCACUUUGUCCCCCUCUGUUGGCCUUCGGGCAAGAUCCAGUGAUUUUGAGAUAUGGUUGAUACAUAGUGCCUUUGUUGAAAAUACUCUCCAAUGGAUAUGUCCAGAAUCUAGAUUGAGACAUCCUGAGGGCCCAAAGGGAAGGACCUAAAUGGUAUAUAUAGACUUCGCAAGGACCCAUGGGUCAUAACUAUCUAUAUAGAGCAAUAAGUGUAUAUAGGUUUCUGGAUAGGUAUAUGAAUAUGCAUCAUAUGUUUUCAUCUCACGGCCUUCAUUUCCUUGAUUUGCAAUGAUAUUUGAUAUGAAAGAUAAUUAAGUGGCAUGCUUCUCUUAUUCUAAUUUUAUAGUAAUUGAAACUAUUUAUAUUGAACUAUAUUCUUGUUUUUUGGUUAUUGGUUGAUAGACCGGGUCUGUCUUUCCUAAAUUUUAUAGUGUGUGGGAAGUACACAGUAUAGUAGGUUGAAAGUUUUCUCACCGUUGAUUUGGUUUAGAUUUAAUUGAUGAUGCUACUGUGUACAUGUGUAUUAGUACUCACAUAUUUUAUUUUAUGUACACUAUAAGAAAGCAUUAAAAUAGUUGUCCUGGGCAUUAAUCUAGUUAUGUGUUCAAGGCUUUUCACUCCAAGAUUUGAGGUAGCUGCUGGCUGAACCAUUACUCUAUUAGAUCUUUUGUAUUUUUCCUUAUAAAUUUUUACUAUUCUUGGAUGCUGAGAUUCUUUGGUUGUAUUUGAUAUUUGUAGAGGUUUAUACUAGUGACAUCCAAAUUUUGGGUAUUUAGAUAUUGAUCUUCAUGCUUUUACUUUGAAGAUUGAUACAAAAGUAGGUAUUUGAGACUAAAUAUUAUUUUCUUCUUGCUUAUAAUUAUCUUAUAUCAUUAUGUUUGGGGGUUGGAUUUACCUAUCAUAUAAGUGAGUUAAAUGCCAUCAUGACCUAGGAUUUUGGUUGUGAUAAGUUGGUUUUAGAGUAUUUGGUUUAUUGGUAUCAUACGUAUAAAUAGAGUCUAGUAUAGUUUUACAAAUUGGUGUAGAUAUGUUCGUUUGUAUUUUUGGAAGUCUAUAUAACUUUAGGAAAAUUUAUUUCUUUGUUCUUACCGCAGGAAGCUAAUUUUAUCAGUUACUGAGAUUCUUUAUUUUAUUCUUUCUUUGAGUGUGAGGACAUGUUCUACUAUAUAUAGAUAUUAAGAUUCUAUUCUAACAUCUAUAACUACUACUCAUGCCUGAACACAUAGAUAAAUUACAUGAUAUGUUAAGGGUCAAGGUUUGGACAUGGCAGAGGUAGAGCACAAACAACUACUCAUCUCCUAUCUAGGGAAAAGUCUAUUAAUGUUGAGUUAAUAUUAAGGAUGAUAAGGUUCCAGUUAAAGAGGUGUGCCCAGUUCAAACUCCACCUAGAUUGUAGCUACUCGAGUAAUUUACUUUUUGUUAUAUUUAUCAGAAGGCAUGACUCAGAGUGGUGGUUUGUUGGGUGCUCAAGAAGGUUCUGAGACCAAAACUGGAGAAUAAAUUCCACACUAGAAUCCUAAUCUAGGGUUUUAGGGCUUGUUGGACCAGUCGUCAAUAAUGUAGUAGCUAGAUUUUUUGAUAUGCCUUUUUCGGGUGUGGGAGAAUUAAGUAUGGUUUGGCAUAUUAUGUCAGAUGAGAAGCAGUGAAGGUUGCGAGGUUUAGGAAUAUGGAUCCACCUUAAUUUCAGGGUGGACAGAGCGAGGAUACUUAUAAGUUUCUAGUGAGAUAUCAUGAGAGGCUUUAGAGUGCGGGAUUGGUGUAGUCCCAUGAAGUAAAUUAUACAUCACUUCAAAUGUGAGGCCCUACUAAAUAGUGGUGGCAUUCUUAUGUUGAUUCCAGACUUGUAAGUUCUGUGCCCAUAACUUAGAGUGUAAAACCCCAUAUAUUUCAGCAUAUAUAUGAUUAAGUUACCAUGAAUGAGAGUAUUUAAAAUUGGGAUCAUAAGUAGGUGUUUGAGUCUAAAGUUUGAAGUAACCAAGUAUACAUAUGUUUUAAGUUUAAUUAAAGGGAUUUAGAUCUAAAAAUGGAAAAAAAUAUCAAGGUGAUUGCUUGACUUAUUUAAGCUAGUAGGUGAGUCACCUACUUGAGCUAUAUGGACCAAGUUAACGGAGCCAAGGCUAAUGGAUUAGAUUUAGGAUUAUAUUAAUGGACUAAUUUAAGGCCCAAACAAUGGGGAAGAAAAUGGCAUCCCAACACCAAAAUCUGUCCCAAAAGCCCAAUAAAUUAAAGGCCUAUUUUAGACAUGAAUAAAGCGAGUAGGUGCAUCACCUACUUUGACCUUUUUAGCAUCUUGAACUCCUUAAGUAGGUGCAUCACCUACUUGGACCAAUUUGUGAUCCAAAAUGUAACAAAACAGGCAGAAAAAUUAGUGCAUUUAUAAGACAAGCUUGCUGGUCAUUUCUUUUAUUAUUAAGUUAGAAAAAUCUAAUUUUCUCUCUCAAGUUAUUUAUCUUUCUCUCAAGGCUUAGUACAACUACCUCAGUUUCCUCCUAGGGGUCUUGAAGAAACCCUCCUUAUUUCCAACCAAGGUAAGUGAAAGUAACUGUGGUUUGUCUUUAAUUCUAUCAUAGGAUGUUAUGGAAAUUAAGUUACUUUUGUUUGAAGUGUAGGAUGACCCCUUUUUUCCAAGCUUGGCAGUCCACUUCUCUUCAAUCUCUAAGAUAUUUUCUAGUAGUAUUUGGUUCAACUUGAAGGAAAACUUAGUUUUUAUGGAGUACAAUUUGAGAAAGCAAAUUUCAAAAAUAAAGUUAAGGUUGCUGCCUUAAUUUUUUCCCUCUUUAUGUAUAGUUCUUGAUGAAGGAUUUUAUAUAUAUUGUUGUUAAUAACUCAUAAGAUUGUGAUCGAAAGCCGUGAGUUUAAUAUCUUAUAUUGUGUUGAAGGAUUUUGGGACUGUUUAGGUGAUGUCUAUAUGUGUUAUUUUUGGAGGCAGUAGAUGACCUUAUAUAAUGGUUAAGUGGAGUUAUAUUAAAGUAUAGAAGGAGGUAAGGUGAUACACAAAUUGUUUGAGGGGAUAAAUAGUCUUACUGCCCAUCAAGUGUUUAAUUACUAUUUCACAGUGAUUACAUUUUGAUUAGUUGCUAAUAUUAGCUCCAUUAUGUACUUAUAUUGUGGAUUAACACCUUAAUGAAAACAAGGCUAAUUCAUUGUAAUAAUUAGAUUACACAACAAGGUAUAUAAAGCUAUUCUAGUUCAUAUUCUUUGGCAUGAUGUCUUAUAAUCAUGUACCAAUAAAAUGAGCUUUAUAGAUGAUCUUUCACGGUAAGAGAUACAUUAUGAUGUUGCAAUCUCUACUGUAGUUAAUGGAUCUUUUCUUUACUACCCAUGGUCUGAAAAUAUGCUAAAAUGUCACAUGCCUCUCUCAUAUGAGUCAAUAAGAUGCAAUAUUAGACAUGUUAAGAAUGUCACAUAUUGGAUAUACAAUCUAUCCAAAAUUGCUUCAAUUGUCUAAUUGAUCAUAUACUUCUUUUGGCUCACAUGUUCACAUGUUCCUUUUUUUAUAUCACUCCCAUUAUGUUUGGGUAAAAGGUGACCUUAUAGAGUCCUCACAUAUUCAAAAUAUAGUUUAGAUGUCCUUUCUUGGGAUGCACAUUUGUUCCUAAUUAGAAUUUGCCCAUGUGCCUUAAUAGUUCCCAUGUUUGCGUACCCUUUUAUUUGUUAUCACCUUGUGAGUAUUUAUUAUUCAGUCCAAACCUUUUCAUUUGAGGAGCUACAUGUCUCCCCUUAGUGUGCAUAUAUUCUCCCAUUUAAAUGUUUAGAUUCCUACACUUUAGUUUGCAACAAUUGUUAUAUGCAAUGAAACAUCACUUGAAUCUUCCACAACUAAUAUAUGUUAUGUAAUAUUACUUGCUCACUAGUUAUACAUCUUAAUAGCUCAUUUGUUGCAUAUCUUGAUCUCUUUACUUGUCAUAUGUCUUCAUGGCUCAUUUAUGAAUGUGUUUUAUGUGUAGUGAGGUUUAUAUUGUCAUAUAAGUUCCAAAAUAUUUCUACAUCGAUGUUACCCUUGUUUCCUAUAUCAUUGUUUUUGUCUCAAUCAUAUUGUUCAAAUGUUUUCUUCUAUUGGUCCAUAGCUCUAGAGCUUAAUAAUGUUAUGACCAUCAACGAACAAUCUCAAAGAUUAAAGAAAUAAGGUAAAGUGAGCUUAUGUAUUUAUGGGUGGAAGCUCAAGGGUUAUAAUACCUAGCAUGGGUUGAUGCCAUUCUAUGUAUUGAUGGGUAGAAGGAACACCUAACAUGGGUCAAUCCUAAUAUUACGGUUGGGAGAAAUAAAAUCCUGGUAUGGGGUACACUAUGUUUUACGUCGUAGGUACAAGUAUUCUAGCUAAUAUAUCUCCCUAAAAUAAGCACAGAAUACUCAGUGACUGUUGGAAAGAUCCAAGUUGAUUCGAGGCUUUGCCAAGUCUUUAGCUUGUAUUUGAUAUUAUAUUACAGUUAAGGGUAUGGCAGGGUCUUGUACCGACAUAAGCUAAAGUUGUCUAUCUCUUAGAGGCUUUGUAUACUAUUGUUAAAUUAAAGCACAAUGGUGCCUUAUUCCCUAUUAAUUAAGUCCCCAACGGCCAAGUCAUGUAUAUUUAUUAUGGGCUUACCUAUAUUGGUCCUUUAUCAGCGAGUCUUACCUUUACUUGUAAAAGCCUUAUAAUUAUCACAGUUACAUGCACAAUAAUAAUAAGGUAGAAUUUGGUUCUCUCAAGCCUUUAGGGUUUCUGGUGCCUGUUCAUUUUAAUGGGAUAUAAGGCAUGACAUAGAGACCUUUUUGCCUAGGCUUUCCUAUAUCAGUUUGUUCUUAUAGUUUGAGAAAAGAAUGGAGAGACCAAUUCGAGAUCUAACUUAGGAGGUAUUUUCUGUGUCCAAGUAUGGGAUUAGAUUAUAUGCAUUAUCUCUCCAUGCCUCGAUGAUUUUCUUAGAUGAGACUAAGAAGAUUUACAGGUUUAUGAGGGGUUUGAUUUUUAGAUCUGAGAGAGAGCUUUUCAGAUAGACCAAAUUAGGGCUUCUUUUUAAAAAGUGGUUAAGACAACCAAGGAGUUUGAUCUUAUAUGUCAUGAAGAAUGUAGGGACUUGAGAAACAAGAGGUACACCACUUAUAUCAAUUCAAAAGAGGGUUUUCCUCCUCAAUAUGGUGACUAGUUCAUGCUUCCAUUUAGGCAUCCAAGGAUGAGUAUUUUGCCUAAGACUCCAUCAAUUUAGGUCAGACUUCUUAAGGUUUAUCUUAGAAAUUUUUGAGUUGUCGUGGACAUUUGGAUACUUCAUGUUUAUCUCAACUAGUUUCUACUUGUUUAAGCUAUUUUUGAUAUGGUUAUGCUUGGAUAGAGAGGUCAACAACAUGAUUUUUGGUCUCCAGAUAGAGUAGUAGCACCACUAUUUAUGGGGUUUGGUCAUUUAGCAGAAGGUGGUUGUGCAUCACUGUAGUAACUCUCUUGGUCAUUUUCUUGUGUAUUUACUAUUCUUAGAACUUUUCUAUAACUUUCCCUGGUAAUUUAUGAUGUGGUAGGAUAGGUGGUUUGUUUAUCGAGUAGUUUAUUUUGUUUUAUGUCAUUUUUUUUUGUUUUUGAGCUUUUAAAAUUGAGAAAUUGGUUUUUGAUCAAAACAUCAAGAAAAUAGACUUAAAUGAGAAUUUUGACAUUUCUAUUAGCUUUAAAAUUUAGAUUUUGGGACCUUUGUUUUAGGUCCUAAAGCUUUUAAACUUGUUUUGGGAUAUCAAUUAGUUUUUGGUUAAAAUAGAGGGUUAGGUGUGGGGCCUAUUUUUUGUCAAAAUUACUUCUAUUGGGAAUUUCAUCAAUUAUGUUGAGUCUUGAAUGUCAUUUUUGGCAGGGUAGCAUAUAUUGUUUGUGUGCAUGGGUUUCAAACAAAUCCCAAGCAUACGAUUAGAGUUUUUUUAGACUUAGCUUUGUUUUCUGGUGCAUGAGCUAGUGCAACUACUUUUUUAGUGCAUGGGUUUCUUCAACGGAGCUGCUUAUGCAAUUAGUGAUGCCACUAAGUGUCCAAAGCUGAUGUCAUAUGCCACCUCUUAAGCGGGCUCUCCUCUUCUUAAGAGGAACUACUUAUGCAGCGUGAGAGCUACUUAAGUAGUAAAGGGCUAGGUAAACAGUAACCAACUCUUUUGGAACUGGUCAGUCACUUAAGAUACAUUGCUUAAGCAGCCAAACCUUUUCUUAAAUGGAGGUAGAUGAAUAUGUAUACCCUUCACUUUGAUUAUUUCUCCAUUUUUAUUUGAAUUUUCUCUAUUUUUGGACCUUUAGAGCUUGGAAAACUUUGUGGAAAAAAAAUUUGGAGCUAAAGUGUUAUGACCCUCUUUAUCGUUGCAUAUGAGUCCUACAUCUAAAAUCUCAUGUCCAAAUUCUUCCAAGUUUGAAAGUUACAAAUUUUAGGAUAGGCUAGUUUCGAUCAAUUUUGUAGCGAGGGGUGGCCUAGGGAAAUAUGAGAAUGAUUUAGACUGAUUUAGUGAUUUUUGUCUUGAUUUUCGGUUAGCUAAGAUGAUAAGUAACUCAUAGAAAUUUUCAGAAUUGGAUUUGGGUAAUUAGAACUCCCGAAAUUUAUCUUAGUAAAAGGCACUAUUAGAAAUGUCCCAUAUUUAAGGUGUGUUGCAAAAAGUGGGAUUUUUGAGAGAAGAUGGAAAUUUUGUCCCAUUGAUGCUGCUACAACGGUCAGCACACCACUAUAGCGGUAAGGACUACAACGAAGGAAUUUUUGCUAUAGUGGUGGUCAAACAUGGCCAACAACUUCUAUAGCUGUGAAAACUGCAGAUUUAUUAAAAUAUUUUCCUAAAAUACUUUAUUUUACUAAAACUUAUUUUGGAUCAAAGAAAGGGAGAUUUAGGGUGAAACCCACCAAAAUUUCUUUGUUUGGCUUCGUUAAGGUAAGGAAUUCAUCCUCGUUGACUCUUAUAUACUUACUAAGUUUUAGCAUUGUUAAUUCACUGAGUUCGGGGAGGGUUUUAGGGAGAAUUUUGAUUAAUUACUGGUGUAAAGGGGUACAUUAUGUUUUGAUUAUUAAUAUUUGAUUUAUCCUUGCAUUCCGUUAAUUCACUAAUUUAUCUAUGAAAUUUAUAGUUUUAGGUGAAUUACAGUGGAAAACCCCUUGGAAGGGAAGAAGAUGAUCAUGAAUUUGACCUUCAGAGUUGGGUGUCAGUUAUAAAUCCCAAUAUAUUAGGUCAUUUCUUUACUUAUUUAUUUAUGUGCAUAUUAUAGAACACGAGCAAGCAAAAAUUGCAUGGAAAGACAAAGCUCCAACAUAAAGUAGUUAUGCAAGCUUGGUUUAAGGUAGGUGAUGGUGUUGUAGUUUGAUCCAAUUUGUGCUAUAUUUGGAUGUUAACAAUUUUGUAGUAUGGCUUGUUAGUGCAUGUUGUUUGGUGAUUCUUUUGCAAAUAAUUUAUGGCUAUUAGAUGAUUUUGAGCUACUUCACCUUCUAAAUGUGGAAUGUUUGGUAUCUAGAACAUUCUCAAGGUAUUUUAGUGGAAUAAGGUUGGCAUACCCUUAUAUUUGGGAUUUUAAUACAUAGAUGAUAAUUGUCCCCUGCAGUUCAUGAUCAGAGGUGGGUUGUUUAUUCCCUUAGCGUGUGUGUACAAGGGCCAGGUGAGUUUUAAGAUUACAUGAGUGAAUCAGGGAAAUAUAUCUUUAUACUUAAUAAAUUUCCUAACUUAUAUUGGCUUGGCUUAACAAAACUUGGCAUGGUGAUAAUGUAUUGAUUUGCUGGUUUGAUUCCUUAUUUUUCACUGUUGCUUGUUAUGCUAAGUGUAUAUUUGUUAAGCAUGGAUUAACUUGUUGUACUAUAACUUAGUUAUUUGUUCAUAUUCUCAUCUUGGGUUGGCCAAAUUACCCUACUAGUACAGUUUUGUUCUUGUGCAUGGAUACUACACCUGCAUUUACUUUUGUGAGUAUAGUGUACAUUCCAACGGCUCAUACGAGACCUUACUUAUGAUUCCAAUGAUUGACUCUCGAUUUCAGGGUGAGCAGCAUAUCCAGGCUGCCAUGCAAUCUUUCCAUUAUAGCAUAUUUCUUAUUUCUGUACUUAUGUUUUUCUUUGGUUUUGGGGUUGCAUCCUUUUCUUGACAAUCUUUAGUAGUUUUGGUAUAGAUGACUUUCGAUUCCUUGGGAUGGUUUUUGGUUAAGUACAAUGUUUUGCCUUACAGUUGUAAUUAUGUUUGUUCUUUAGACUUGAUAUUUUAUUGGUGGAUUUGUUCUAUGAUCUUUUUUAAGUGUUGAUUUUGUAGGUAGUUCUCCCAUUGAAUUAGUAGUGUGGGAGCCACUCACAAUGGGUUUGGAUUGUGACAAAGUUUAUAUCAGAGCCUAGGUUUGGUGAUCUUGUCAUACCAAAUUAGGUACAGUAGAGUCUCAUAGAAUGGUAUGGAGACAUCUAUACUUUUCUUAUGGAGGCCAUAGGACUUUACCAAAUCUUUCAUUCUUAUUUCUUUCGCACUAUAACUUGAUUCCAAUUGGUAUGUGGUGAUAUAGAUUGGUAUUUAAUCUUUUUCAUUAUUUUGUCCACAGAUGGUGAAUGCUAUGUCAACGGAACCCUACUAGUAGCUCUCGCACCUGUCACUCUAGCUGUAGAGCUAAGGGAAGGAAAGAAUGAGCCAUACUCACUAGCGUAGAGCUCAAGCUACGUCUGGACAAAAUCUUCCUAGGUAAGCAUCACCUCCCUCACCUUAUGUACUUUAUUUCAUUCGGGGUCUACAUAUUAUUAUGUAUCUAUCCAAUUUAUAGUGGGUUUGAAUUUGGUUUAUGAUGUACUUGAUUAUCCUAUUUAUGUGUCUACUUUAGCGGGUGAGUAUGUGAUAGUAACACUUGUUUAUCAUUCUUGUCUUGUAUUAUUUGUAGGAUUUUAGACUUAGGUGUACUUGAUUAUUCUUGAUUUGUUAGACUUUGAUGUAAUUUUAGGUAUGACCUGGUUUUUUUCAUAUCUUAGUGUUUUAAACUAUUAUGCAAAAACAAUCACUGUAGCUAGGCCAAUAUGAAGAAACUAGAGUGGGAGGGAGUGUAUAAGGAUGAACUAGUAAUGAUUAUAUCAUAUGUCCAGGAUAGAAGGCUAGUGAGAAAGGGGUGUUCAACAGUUUUAGCUCAUCUUUGGGAUGUAGACAUGGGGUCCCCUUUUACGGAGUCAGUUCGGUAGUCUUUGAAAUUUAGGAUGUGUUUUCUUUAAACCUACCGAGUAUGCCUCCAAAUAUGGAUAUAAAUUUCUGCAUGGACUUAGAGUCGGGCACUCACCCCAUUUCUAUUCCACCUUAUCAAAUAGAACCAGCAAAGUUAAGGGAGCUUAAAACUCAACUACAUGAGCUACUUGAUAAAGGUUUUGUUCAUAUAUACACUUCACCUUGGGGUGAUCCAAUCUUGUUUUUUAAGAAGAAGGAUGGUAUCUUGAGGAUAUACAUUUGUUACAGGCAGUUGAAUAAGGUUACCAUUAGAAACAAAUAUAUCUUGCCUCAUAUAUAUGACUUAGUUGAUCAGUUACAAGGUGCGUCAGUGUUUUUAAAAGUUGAUUUGAGGUCGGGUUAUCAUCAAUUGAAAAUUAGACCAGAGGACAUAUCGAUGACAUCUUUUAGUACUCGAUAUGGUCAAUAUGAGCUUAUGGUGAUAUCUUUUGGGUUGAAUAAUACACUAAAGCCUUAUGAGUUUAGUGACUGGGAUCUUUAAGUUGUUCAUUGAUUCUCAUGUUAUUGUAUUUAGUGGUGAGAUUCUUAUGUAGUCUAAGAGUAAAGAAGAGCAUGCAGGCCAUCUUUGCAUAGUUUUAGAGAUUUUAAGGGAGAAAUAAUUAUUUGCUAAGUUUUCAAAGUAUGAAUUCUAUUUGUCUUCAGUUACCUUCUUGGGACAUAUGGUUUCUGAAAAAGGGGUAAUGGUGGAUCCCUAAAAGAUUGAGGCAAUAAAGAAUUGAAAUUGUCCUAGUUCAGUGACUGAGUAAAGAAGUUUUGUGGGUCUUACUAGUUAUUACUGCAAAUUUGUCAAGAACUUUGCAUUCAUUGCAAUGCUCUUGAUAAGGUUGAUACAUAAGGAAUUGUCAUUUGUUUGGUCAUACCAAUGUGAAAAGAUCUUCCAAAAGCUCAAGACUCUUUUGACUAUAACACCUAUUCUUUCGUUUCCAGUUGAAGUUAAGGACUUUAUAGUAUUUUGUGAUGCCUCACUUUUAGGUUUAGGUGUUGUGUUGAUGAAGGAUAGAAAUGUUAUUUCUUAUGCUUUAAUGCAGUUGAAUCCUCAUGAAAGAGACUACCCAACCCAUGACUUAAAGUUGGCAGUGGUGAUGUUUAUAUUAAAGACUUGGAGACACUAUAUUUGUGGAGUCAAGUGUGAGGUCUUCAUAGAUCAUCAUAGCCUGCAACACAUAUUUACUCAAAGGGAUUUAAAAUGAAGUAGGGGUGGUGGAUAGAAUUAUUGAAGGAUUAUGAUAUGAAUAUUCAAUAUCAUUUGGUUAAGGCCAAUGUGGUGGUAGAAACAUUGAGCUAAAAAGAUGUAACUAUGGGUAAUUUAUCAUGUUUGAGGGUAUCUAGGUGACUAUUAGCUAGAGGCUUUAAAUAUCUAAUAUCUCUGAACAUGCAUUUUGGGGUCUUGGAUAGGGGUGGUAUGUAGGCUAGUGUAGAGGUAACGUCAAUAUUUGUGGAGCCGAUUAAGGCCAAGCAAUUUGAGGAUAAGAAGUUAAAUGCACUCUAGAAUAAAAUAGUGCAUGGAGUGAUGACAGAUGCCACUCUUAACGCGUCAGAGGUGUUGCGGUUUAAGGGAAGAUUAUGUGUUCCUUGGGUGGGUGAUUUGAUUCAUGAUGUACUUUUAGAGGCUAAUGACCUAUGUUAUUCAAUUCAUCUGGGUACAACUAACAUGUAUCUUGACUUGAUGCAACUUUAUUGAUAUAAGAGGGACAUAGUGGAUUAUGUGUCCAAGUGUCAAAAUUGUCAGCAGGUAAAGUAUUAGCACUAAAGGCCUACAUGGUUACUUCAGAGAAUGCCUAUACCCUUGUGAAGUGGGAGAAUAUUGGUAUGGACUUUAUGGUCGGUCUCCCUAGACCUUGGAGAGGUAUGACUCCAUUUGGGUGAUAGUAGAUCCGCUGAUGAAGUCAGCUCACUUUUUACCAAUUCGGGUAGACUAUAAUUCUCAUGUGAAGGAGAUUGUGAGACUUCAUUAGGUGCCACUUACUAUUAUUUCUGACAGAGAUUCAAAGUACACAUUUAAGUUUUUAGACAGGUUGAACAAGGAGUUGGGCACCACGACCAUGUUUAACACAACUUUUCACCCUCAAACUGAUGGGUAAUUGGAGAGAAUAAUUUAGGUAAUAGAGGACAUGUUGAGGGAUUGCGUAAUUUAUUUUAGUGGUUAUUGAGAUUAGUUUCUUUCAUUGUGUGAGUUUUCAUACAACAAUAAUUAUCACUCCAAUAUUGAUAUGGCAUCAUUCGAGACACGUUAUGGAAGGAAAUACAGGUCACCUAUUGGGUGGUCUGAGUCAAGAGAUGUUAAGCCUUUGGGAACAGAUUUGGUAAAAAAGGCUCAGGAGAAGGUAAUAUUUAUUCAAUCCAAUGGUUUCUCAAAGUAAGCAAAAGGAGUACACGGACCGUAAGGUGAGGGACAUGUACUUAAGGUUCGUGAGCAAGUUUUGCUCAAGGUAUUUCCCAUGAAGGAAGUUGAGGUUCGAUAAGAGGGGUAAGCUUAGCCCUCAGUAUAUUGGUCCCUUUGAGGUUCUUGAGAAAGUUGGUCCAGUUGUAUAUUGGUUAGCUCUAUUACUAGGGUUACCGAGAGUCCAUACCAUAUUUCAUGUCUCAAUGCUAAAAAGGUACCAUAUAUUAAUUGGGAUUUGGUGAUUCUAGAUAAGGAUUUGACUUACAAGGAUGAACCAAUAGUGAUUCUAGAUCUGGAUGUUCAAAAAUUAAUGAUGAAAGAAAUUCAUUUGAUAAUGGUGCAAUGGAAUAACUAUCCAAUUGAGAAAGCCACUUAUGAGAUCGAGAAGGACAUGCAGGGUAAGAACCCUCAAUCAUUUAAGGAUACAUGUACUCUUCUUCUUCCUUAUUUAACCUAUCUUUCAUUUGAUCGGUCAAAGAAAAUGAUGGGUAAAUUGGUAUCUGUUGUAACAACCCUCUUUAUCGUUACAUAUGCAUCCUAUGUCUAAAAUCUCAAAACCAAAUUCUUCCUGAUUCGGAAGUUACAAAUUUCAGGCUAGGCUAGUUUCGAUCAAUUUUUGAGAAAGUAGUGGCCUAAGGAAAUCAGGGAAUGAUGUAUACUUGGGUGGUGGUAUUUUUCUUGAUUUCUCCUUAGAUAAGAUAACAAGGAACCUAUAGAAAUUUAUGGAAUCAAAUUUGGGUAAGUAUAACUCCAGAAUUUAAUCUUGGCAUAAAGGUCACUGUUUGGAAUAUUCCAGGUUUAAUGUGCAUUGGAAAAAGUGGGAUUUUGGAGAAAGGAUCGAAUUUCUGUCCCAUUUAUGCUGCUAUAAAGGUUGGUACACUUCUAUAGCAUUAAGUGCAAUAGCAGAGGAAUUCCUACUAUAGCGACGGUUAAAGACGAUCAAUGAUUGCUAUAGGUGUGGGUAUCGCUAUAUCGAUGAAAACCGCAAAUUUAUUAAAAUAUUUCUACGAAAUAGUCUAUUUUCCUAAAAUCAUUUUGAAAAAAAAAAAGAAAGGGCGAUUUAGGGUGAAAACCACUAUAAUUUCUUUGUUUGGCUUUGUUAAGGUAAGGAAUUCAUCACUAUUGACUCGUAUUUAAUUACUAAGCCUUAGAAUUAUUAAUUCCCAAAAUUCAAGGAGGGUUUUAGGAAGGAUUUUGGUUAAUUACUGGUGGAAGGGGGAAAAUAAGGAAUAAAUUAAUGAGUUUUGAUUAUUAACAUUUAAUUUACACUUACAUUUCAUUUAAUUACUAAGUUAUCUACGAAAUUUAUAGUUUUAGGUGAAUUACGAUGGAAAAGCCCUAGAACGGGAAGGGAAUGAUCAUGAAAUUGACCUUAGAAAUUGGGUGUGAAUUAUAAAUGUCAAAAUUUUAGGUCAUUUCUUUAAUUAUGUAUUUAUGUGCAUGUUCUAGACCAUGAGCAAGUGGAAAUUGCAUGGAAGAGCAAAGCUCCGUCAUAGAGGAGUUGUACAAGCUUGAUUUGAGGUAGGUAAUGGUAUUGUAGUUUGAACCAAUUUGUGCUAUAUGUGCAUGUUAACUAUUUUGUAGUAUGUCUUGUUUGUGUAUGUUGUUUGGUGUGGUUAUCGCAAAUGAUUUGCAGUUGCUAUAUGAUUUUGACCUACCUUACGUACUAAAUGUGGAAUGUUGCACGGGAUUUUGAUGGAACAAAGUUGACAGACACUUGUAUCUGGGAGUUUAGUACAUGGAUGCUAAUUGUCCCCUAUAGGGCAGGGCUAUAGGGUGGUUGUAUAUCCCUUAGCGUGUAUGUACGAGGGUCAGAUGAGUUUGACAGUUCCAUGAGUGAACUGAAAAUAUAUGUGUGUGUGUCUAUAUAUAUAUAUAUANNNNNNNNNNNNNNNNNNNNNNNNNNNNNNNAUAUUUAUACUUAAUAAAUUGUUGUGACUAGUUUUUGUCUUGGCUUCACUAAACUUGACGUCGUGAUAAUAUAUUGAUUUGCUGAUUUGAUUCUUAAUUGUUCAUUGUUUCUUGUUAUGCUAAGUGUAUGUUUGUUAAACAUGGAUUAACUUGUUGUACUGUAACUUAGUUAUAUGUUUAUAUUCUCAACUUGCAUUGGCCAAAUGACCCUAUUGGUACAUUUUUAUUCUUGUGUGAUGAAACUACAUAUGCAUUUACUUAUAUGAGUGCAACACGCAUUCCAGCGGCUCCUACGAGACCUCACUUGUGAAUUCAGGGGUUGACUCCAUAUUUCAGGGUGAGCAACAUAUCCAGGCUACCAUGGAAUCUUUCCUUUAUGACAUAGUUUUUAUUUUUU